GUGCUAAGCAUUGGCAGCACAUAUACUAAAAUUGGGACAAUACAGAGAAGAUGAGCAGGACCCCUGCACAAGAGUAACACAGAAAUUCUUGAAACGUUUCAUGUUUUU
This 108-nucleotide small nuclear RNA is filed under the name Catagonus wagneri (Chacoan peccary). The record is from RNAcentral. Lineage: Eukaryota; Metazoa; Chordata; Mammalia; Artiodactyla; Tayassuidae.